UUACUAUAACAUAACAUAACUUUCCAAUAUGCCAGGGACGUAGAAUGGGUACAACCUGGUCUUUCUCUUACUCUGGCCGGGACGUAGAAUGGGUACAACCGGCAACCACACCAUAACAUGCCUCAUCAUAACAUAUCGAGGACUAAAAGAUCAUUCAAUGCCCAUCCACAACAUCAUCAAGUAUGCAAUGCAACAUAUUCGUGGAAUCUAAUGCAAACAACCUAAAAUAUCA
This 232-nucleotide long non-coding RNA is filed under the name Manihot esculenta (cassava). RNAcentral's name for it is "long non-coding RNA (MESC_LNC005349)". The record is from RNAcentral. Lineage: Eukaryota; Viridiplantae; Streptophyta; Magnoliopsida; Malpighiales; Euphorbiaceae.